GGCCCCGUAGCUCAGUGGAUAGAGCACACGUUUCCUAAACGUGGUGUCGGAUGUUCAAGUCAUCUCGGGGCCGCCA
RNAcentral lists this transfer RNA (76 nucleotides) under Paenibacillaceae bacterium. Its description in RNAcentral is "tRNA-Arg". It matches the Rfam family "tRNA". Rfam says of the family: Transfer RNA (tRNA) molecules are approximately 80 nucleotides in length. Their secondary structure includes four short double-helical elements and three loops (D, anti-codon, and T loops). The record is from RNAcentral. Lineage: Bacteria; Bacillati; Bacillota; Bacilli; Caryophanales; Paenibacillaceae.